ACCUAGCUGGCUCAGUUGGUGGAGCAUGGAACUCUUAAUCUUGGGGUUGUGAGUUUGAGCCCCAUGUUGGGUA
This 73-nucleotide transfer RNA is filed under the name Canis lupus familiaris (dog). It matches the Rfam family "tRNA". From Rfam's summary of the family: Transfer RNA (tRNA) molecules are approximately 80 nucleotides in length. Their secondary structure includes four short double-helical elements and three loops (D, anti-codon, and T loops). Further hydrogen bonds mediate the characteristic L-shaped molecular structure. tRNAs have two regions of fundamental functional importance: the anti-codon, which is responsible for specific mRNA codon recognition, and the 3' end, to which the tRNAs corresponding amino acid is attached (by aminoacyl-tRNA synthetases). tRNAs cope with the degeneracy of the genetic code in two manners: having more than one tRNA (with a specific anti-codon) for a particular amino acid; and 'wobble' base-pairing, i.e. permitting non-standard base-pairing at the 3rd anti-codon position. RNAcentral also lists the same sequence under 1 other name. Lineage: Eukaryota; Metazoa; Chordata; Mammalia; Carnivora; Canidae. The record is from Rfam by way of RNAcentral.